GACGAACGCUGGCGGCGUGCCUAACACAUGCAAGUCGAACGGACGAGAUUUCUUCGGAGAUCGAGUUAGUGGCGAACGGGUGAGUAACGCGUGAGCAACCUGCCUUUCAGAGGGGGACAACAGUUGGAAACGACUGCUAAUACCGCAUAACGCAUUCGGGGGGCAUCCCCUGAAUGCCAAAGAUUUAUCGCUGAAAGAUGGGCUCGCGUCUGAUUAGAUAGUUGGUGAGGUAAUGGCUCACCAAGUCGACGAUCAGUAGCCGAACUGAGAGGUUGAUCGGCCACAUUGGGACUGAGACACGGCCCAGACUCCUACGGGAGGCAGCAGUGGGGGAUAUUGCACAAUGGGGGAAACCCUGAUGCAGCAACGCCGCGUGAAGGAAGAAGGUCUUCGGAUUGUAAACUUUGUCUUAUGGGAAGAAAAAAGACUAGUACCUAAGGAGGAAGCCCCGGCUAACUAUGUG
This 463-nucleotide ribosomal RNA is filed under the name uncultured bacterium. RNAcentral's name for it is "bacterial SSU rRNA". It matches the Rfam family "Bacterial small subunit ribosomal RNA", at positions 28 to 507 of the family's 1533-position model. The record is from RNAcentral.